This 1168-nucleotide ribosomal RNA is filed under the name uncultured bacterium. RNAcentral's name for it is "bacterial SSU rRNA". It matches the Rfam family "Bacterial small subunit ribosomal RNA", at positions 227 to 1398 of the family's 1533-position model. The record is from RNAcentral.
GGGCUCACGGCCUAUCAGCUUCGUUGGUGAGGUAAUGGCUUACCAAGGCGACGACGGGUAGCCGGCCUGAGAGGGUCGACCGGCCACACUGGGACUGAGACACGGCCCAGACUCCUACGGGAGGCAGCGGUGGGGAAUAUUGCACAAUGGGGCGCAAGCCUGAUGCAGGGACGCCCGCGUGAGGGAUGACGGCCUUCGGGUUUGUAAACCUCUGUUAGCAUCGAAGAAGCGAAAGUGACGGUAGGUGCAGAGAAAGCGCCGGCUAACUACGUGCCAGCAGCCGCGGUAAUACGUAGGGCGCGAGCGUUGUCCGGAAUUAUUGGGCGUAAAGAGCUUGUAGGCGGUUGGUCGCGUCUGCUGUGAAAGGCCGGGGCUUAACUCCGGUUUUGCAGUGGGUACGGGCUAACUAGAGUGCAGUAGGGGAGACUGGAAUUCCUGGUGUAGCGGUGGAAUGCACAGAUAUCAGGAGGAACACCGAUGGCGAAGGCAGGUCUCUGGGCUGUAACUGACGCUGAGAAGCGAAAGCAUGGGGAGCGAACAGGAUUAGAUACCCUGGUAGUCCAUGCCGUAAACGUUGGGCACUAGGUGUGGGGGACAUUCCACGUUUUCCGCGCCGUAGCUAACGCAUUAAGUGCCCCGCCUGGGGAGUACGGCCGCAAGGCUAAAACUCAAAGGAAUUGACGGGGGCCCGCACAAGCGGCGGAGCAUGCGGAUUAAUUCGAUGCAACGCGAAGAACCUUACCAAGGCUUGACAUGCAUUAGAUCGCGUCAGAGAUGGCGUUUCCCUUCGGGGCUGGUGUACAGGUGGUGCAUGGUUGUCGUCAGCUCGUGUCGUGAGAUGUUGGGUUAAGUCCCGCAACGAGCGCAACCCUCGUUCUAUGUUGCCAGCGGUUCGGCCGGGGACUCAUAGGAGACUGCCGGGGUCAACUCGGAGGAAGGUGGGGAUGACGUCAAAUCAUCAUGCCCCUUAUGUCUUGGGCUUCACGCAUGCUACAAUGGCCGGUACAGAGGGUUGCGAUACUGUGAGGUGGAGCUAAUCCCUUAAAGCCGGUCUCAGUUCGGAUUGGGGUCUGCAAACUCGACCCCAUGAAGUCGGAGUCGCUAGUAAUCGCAGAAUCAGCAACGCUGCGGUGAAUACGUUCCCGGGCCCUUGUACACACCGCCCGUC